This 259-nucleotide ribosomal RNA is filed under the name uncultured bacterium. Its description in RNAcentral is "partial 16S ribosomal RNA". It matches the Rfam family "Bacterial small subunit ribosomal RNA", at positions 99 to 356 of the family's 1533-position model. The record is from RNAcentral.
CGGACGGGUGAGUAACGCGUGGGGAACCUGCCCUGUACCGGGGGAUAGCAGCCGGAAACGGCUGAUAAUACCGCAUAAGCGCACGAAUGUCGCAUGACAUGGUGUGAAAAAACUCCGGUGGUAUAGGAUGGACCCGCGUCUGAUUAGCCAGUUGGUGGGGUAAAAGCCUACCAAAGCGAAGAUCAGUAGCCGAGUUGAGAGACUGACCGGCCACAUUGGGACUGAGACACGGCCCAGACUCCUACGGGAGGCAGCAGCG